GAAGUGCGAUAAUUAGUGUGAAUUGCAGAAUUCAGUGAAUCAUCAAGACCUUGAACGCAUACUGCGCCUAUAGGCUCUCCUAUAGGCAUGCCUGUUUGAGUAUCGACUUUAUCAUCUCCCUUCUUUUGAAGGAAGGUAUAUGAAUGUUUACCUUGAUUUAAGGGGUAAUCAUUUGAAAGGAAGUCGAUCAGCGGUGACAAAAUAUCACAGCUUUAAACCUUAGUGGGUUAGUGUCCUCUUUAGAGGCCUUUAUAUCAUCACUAUAGGUAUUUAAUAGCUGGAUACACCCCUUGAUCUUAAGGGACAAACAAAUAUUCUUAUAUCUCUUUCGAUCUCAAAUCAGGCAAGACUACCCGCUGAAUUUAA
RNAcentral lists this unclassified non-coding RNA (366 nucleotides) under uncultured Parmeliaceae. Its description in RNAcentral is "sequence contains ITS1". The stretch from base 1 to 105 matches the Rfam family "5.8S ribosomal RNA", at positions 50 to 154 of the family's 154-position model. Lineage: Eukaryota; Fungi; Ascomycota; Lecanoromycetes; Lecanorales. The record is from RNAcentral.